This 494-nucleotide ribosomal RNA is filed under the name uncultured bacterium. RNAcentral's name for it is "partial 16S ribosomal RNA". It matches the Rfam family "Bacterial small subunit ribosomal RNA", at positions 28 to 507 of the family's 1533-position model. The record is from RNAcentral.
GACGAACGCUGGCGGCGCGCUUAACACAUGCAAGUCGAACGGAAAGGCCUGCUUUCCCUUGUGGAUUGCGGGUACUCGAGUGGCGAACGGGUGAGUAACACGGGAGUGAUCUGCCCCCAACUUGGGUAUAAGCCUGGGAAACUGGGUCUAAUUCCCGAUAGGACUGCAGGGUGGUGCCUGUGGUGGAAAACGAUUUUCUAGUGGUUGGGGAUGAGCUCGCGGCCUAUCAGCUUGUUGGUGGGGUAAUGGCCUACCAAGGCGGCGACGGGUAGCCGGCCUGGGAGGGUGGACGGCCACAUUGGGACUGAGAUACGGCCCAGACUCCUACGGGAGGCAGCAGUGGGGAAUAUUGCACAAUGGGCGGAAGCCUGAUGCAGCGACGCCGCGUGGGGGAUGACGGCCUUCGGGUUGUAAACUCCUUUCGACCGCGAGGAAGCCACCUGGUUGGAAGGGUGGUGACGGUAGUGGUAGAAGAAGCACCGGCUAACUACGUG